RNAcentral lists this ribosomal RNA (500 nucleotides) under uncultured bacterium. RNAcentral's name for it is "partial 16S ribosomal RNA". It matches the Rfam family "Bacterial small subunit ribosomal RNA", at positions 30 to 523 of the family's 1533-position model. The record is from RNAcentral.
AUUGAACGCUGGCGGCAUGCCUUACACAUGCAAGUCGAACGGCAGCACGGGAGCAAUCCUGGUGGCGAGUGGCGAACGGGUGAGUAAAGUAUCGGAACGUGCCCAGUCGUGGGGGAUAACGUAGCGAAAGUUACGCUAAUACCGCAUACGAUCUAUGGAUGAAAGCGGGGGAUCGAAAGACCUCGCGCGAUUGGAGCGGCCGAUAUCAGAGUAGGUAGUUGGCGGGGUAAAGGCUCACCAAGCCGACGAUCUGUAGCUGGUCUGAGAGGACGACCAGCCACACUGGGACUGAGACACGGCCCAGACUCCUACGGGAGGCAGCAGUGGGGAAUUUUGGACAAUGGGCGCAAGCCUGAUCCAGCCAUGCCGCGUGCAGGAUGAAGGCCUUCGGGUUGUAAACUGCUUUUGUACGGAACGAAAAGGUUUGACUUAAUACGUUGGACUCAUGACGGUACCGUAAGAAUAAGCACCGGCUAACUACGUGCCAGCCGCCGCGGUAA